Long non-coding RNA from Hyla sarda, 939 nucleotides. RefSeq lists it as uncharacterized. Lineage: Eukaryota; Metazoa; Chordata; Amphibia; Anura; Hylidae. The transcript has 3 exons. The record is from RefSeq and is a predicted model, not a curated record.
UAUAACAUGGAUAAUGUAUAUAUGUGUAUAAUAUAGAAGGAAUAUGGGUAUAACAUGGAUAAUGUAUAUAUGUGUAUAAUAUAGAAAGAAUAUGGGUAUAACAGGGAUAAAGGAUAUAUGUGUAUAAUAUAGAGGGAAUAUGGGUAUAACAUGGAUAAAAUAUGAGUAUUUUAUAGAUAGAAUAUAGGUAUAACAUGGGUAAAGUAUAUGUGUAUAAUAUAGAUGGAUUAUGGGUAUAACAUGGGCAUGAUGUGUGGCUAUAACAUGAAUAAAGUAUAUAUGUGUAUAAUAUAGAUAGAAAAUGGGUAUAUCAUAGGUAUAAUGUGUGUGUGUAUAAUAUAUGUAACUUGGGUAUAGAAUUUGUGCAUAAUAUAAGUAUGAUGGGGGAGAUUUAUCAAAACCAGUGGGAAGGCAAAGUUGCCCAUAGCAACCAAUCAGAUCACUUCUUUCAUUUUUCCCAGGCCUUGUUAAGAAUGAAAGCAAUCAGAUUGGUUGCUAUGGGUAACUGGGCAACUUUUCCUGUCCACUGGUUUUGAUAAAUGUCCCCUGAUAUCUUUAUAUGUGUAUAGCAGUGUUUUCCAAACAGUGUGUCUCCAGCUGUUGCAAGACUACAACUCCAAGCAUGCCCAGACAGCCGAAGUAGCUUGUGCAAGUAGCUCGAAGAAGUGCCAGGUCGGCACAAAACUGUGCAGUCCUACCCGCACCCCCUGCCUCCCGUCCAGCCCUCCCUUGCCCUGAUGUGUACGUCGCACCUCUUGGAAUAAACAGAAGUUCAUUUGCAGAACGGAAUAGCUAAUAAGCCAAUCACAUAGCAGCAACUCAAUAAAUCUAGGCAUGAAGACAAGGUCAAGACAACUUCCUGAAGCAUCAGAAUGGAAAAGAUGAACGAUUCUCAAAAGGCGAAUAAAAAUAUGGUGACUACAAAGUAAUAAAAUAAUA